UGAUUCUAUUAUUAAAUUCUUUUUAGAUAUUUAUAUAAUUGAUAGAUAAUUGGUGACACAGAAUCGGAGGCCCCGACUGUUUACUAAAAACACAACACAGUGCAAUCAUUAAUAUGGUAGUAUACUGUGUGAAAUUUGCCCAAUGCCAUUAAUAUAAAAGCGGUCAUGGGAAACUGUGACUAAUUGAAAAUCUGGUUAAUAGCGGUCUUAACCAUGAGGAUUUUAUUAAAACCUUAAGGGUCCUCAUUAAACUCGAUGAUAUGUUGGAAUCACCUAAAACUUUAAGUAUUAUUAAAUUUUAAUAAUUAAAAUUAAUAGUUAAAAAUUUAAAGAUGUAACAAUGGUUAAUCAACAGGGAAUAUUCAAAUAUUCAAAUUUAAUCAGUCUAAAUAUUAAUAAAUUAGUGAUAAUUAAAAAAUAUAAUCAAAAAAAUAACAGUAUAAAAUUAAAUUCUAUUAUCAAAUGAUGAAAAGAGAUAUUAAAAUUCCUUUAUAUUUAUCUUUUUAGGAGGUUUCGUUGAAGGAGAAAAUUCUAAUUCUGUUUCUAUAACUAUAAAUAAGAAAUUUAAAUAUGGUAAAAUAUUCAACUAAUAUUUAAUGUCAGUUAACAUAAAAUGGUUUAGACAAUAAUUUAAUUUCUGAUUAAUAAUUUUAAUUGUAUUUUUAUUUAAAUCUCUCUAAUUUUUAUUUUAAUAGAAUAGAUACUUGAUUAAAUUUGAAUAAAAUAGCCUUUAGAGACUAAAUAAUUGAGCAAAUAAUAAUAUAAAUUUUAUUUGAUGAUAUAGUCCAAACUAUAAUAGAAAUAUAUAGAUAAUGCCUAAGGUAGCAAAAUAAAUUGGCCAUUAAAUGUGGUCCGGUAUCAAUAAUGUAACGAUGGCCUCACUGUCUCUACAACUUGCUCAGUGAAAUUGAAUUACGCGUGCAGAUGCGC
This 930-nucleotide ribosomal RNA is filed under the name Amanita pseudoinculta. Its description in RNAcentral is "partial large subunit ribosomal RNA". The record is from RNAcentral. Lineage: Eukaryota; Fungi; Basidiomycota; Agaricomycetes; Agaricales; Amanitaceae.